This 912-nucleotide long non-coding RNA is filed under the name Homo sapiens (human). RNAcentral describes it as "non-protein coding lnc-CRYAA-16:1". Lineage: Eukaryota; Metazoa; Chordata; Mammalia; Primates; Hominidae. The record is from RNAcentral.
GCUAUACCACUGAUCAUAGCUAUAGAUGCCUAGGACUGUAACUGAUACAACAACAAAGCUACAAAUGGCUCCAGGCCCGGAUAGUUUCACAGGCCAUUCCACCACACUGUUAAGGAACAGAUAAUAUUUAAAUGGAUGCAAAGCAUAAAUAAGGAAAGAAAAUUUCUAAAUUCUCUUUAUGAAGCUACCAUAAGAAUGAUGCCAAAACCCAAAGAGACAAGCACAGAAAGAAAAUCAUAAGCCAAUCUUAUGAAUGAACACCAACACAAAAAUGUGAAUUAAAUUGUCUAAAAACUGUAAGCCAUGACCUAGGAGACUUGAAGAUGGUUUGAUAUUAGGAAAUAUCUUAAAAUAGGUCUUCACAUUCAUAGAGCCUAUAAAAUUGCAGUAGUUGGGACAUGGACCCCCUAGUCGGACAGCAAAGAAAUUAGGCAGAGGAACCAAAAAUGGAUCCAAACACACCCACCUAGUUAGGACAUAGGAGAGGUGAUUUUUGCCUAUCAGUGUGAUGAAUUCCAGUUGUUCAGAAGACACCAACUGAAUUACAACUAAAUAGUUUUCUAGAAAAAAAUAAAAUUGCAUUUCUACUUUAUUCCCUAAGGCCUCCAUAUGUUACAGCUACAGCAGAUAUUUUUAUAAAGUUGGAAACCAUAACCUUCUGGCUUUUGUGUCCUCCUGUAAUACUCUUCUUUGUGCAAUUUCUUAUUGUUGGCAGGAAAUCUCUUUUUCUCAUGAAAAAACAUUGCCUCCCCCGUGGGGUUCCGCUGUGGGGAGGCCCCUUCAGAAGGUCGGCAGGAGGAGGAGGCGAGGUGGGGCUGCCCAAGGCCACUGUUGAGGGUCCCCCACCCCUGUCCCUGGUUGGCACUGCACUGGGGUAUUGGUCAUACAGUGGGGGGGCACCUCCCGGAUCGU